This 724-nucleotide long non-coding RNA is filed under the name Astyanax mexicanus (Mexican tetra). RNAcentral describes it as "lncRNA (ENSAMXG00005010767.1)". Lineage: Eukaryota; Metazoa; Chordata; Actinopteri; Characiformes; Acestrorhamphidae. The record is from RNAcentral.
CUGUGUUGCCGAGAUAGCAAUGAACGUCUGACUGUUGACUGUUGUCUAGGUUGUAUUCAGUCAGUGGAGCUCCUGUGUUUUCUGUUACCAAGAUAAACAAGCAAAACUCCAGAAAAGUACCUGAACACACCUCAUUUCCAGAACACCACGCCCAUCAGUUCUCCACAGUUAUGAUAUAAUAACACUGUUAUAUUUUUACACACAGAUCAAUAAAAAUGAAGAAAAAGAUCCUCGUGUGGAGCAUCUUCUUGUGCAUGUGGAUCACCUGUGCAGAUUCACCAUCCUGCAAAAACAUCUCCGCCCACGUCGGCUCCACCGCACGACUACCAUGUGACUGCAGCACGUCAGCCAAUCAGAAGCCAGUAUUUAGAUGGCGUUUAAAUUCUAUAUUUGUGAUUGAGAGUGACGGGACGUCCACAGCAGCAGGUUCUGGAUAUGAGGAGCGUGUGGAGGUUUCUAAAGAGGAUCUGCAGGGUGGAGACUGUUCUCUGCUGUUGAAGAAUAUAAAAGCUGCUGAUUCUGGAGCUUAUCAAUGCAAUAAAAUCGGGAAUAAAAGAGAGACAGUGCUGCAGAGAAUAUGUCUCUCUGUUGAAGGUAACUUGAGUAAAAAUCGCAGUUUAAACACUAGAUUUGUUUUUUAUUAUUUUAAACAAAAUCAUUACGUUUGGAAAGUUUAUUUCCGUGGCUGUUUGCAGGAGCAGAAACGUUUUACAGCUGAUCAUAA